Molecule: ribosomal RNA, 464 nt
Filed under: uncultured bacterium
Lineage: Bacteria
Description: SSU rRNA
Rfam family: Bacterial small subunit ribosomal RNA
Source: RNAcentral
AGGAUUAACGCUGGCGGCGUGCCUAACACAUGCAAGUCGAACGAGGUAGCAAUACCUAGUGGCAGACGGGUGAGUAGCGCGUGGUCAACCUACCGUUGAGUGGGGGAUAACUAGCCGAAAGGUUAGCUAAUACCGCAUACGUCUCCGAGGGGCAUCCCUUGGCGAUAAAAGGAGCAAUCCGCUCGAUGACGGGACCGCGUCCCAUUAGCUAGUUGGUGGGGUAACGGCCUACCAAGGCAUCGAUGGGUAGCUGGUUUGAGAGAGCGACCAGCCACACUGGGACUGAGAUACGGCCCAGACUCCUACGGGAGGCAGCAGUGAGGAAUUUUCCGCAAUGGGCGAAAGCCUGACGGAGCGACGCCGCGUGUGGGAAGAAGGCCUUCGGGUCGUAAACCACUGUCGAAGGGGAGAUAAUGACGGUACCCUUGGAGGAAGCCCCGGCUAACGUACGCACCAGCAGCCGC